RNAcentral lists this long non-coding RNA (457 nucleotides) under Struthio camelus australis. RNAcentral's name for it is "lncRNA (ENSSCUG00000007103.1)". Lineage: Eukaryota; Metazoa; Chordata; Aves; Struthioniformes; Struthionidae. The record is from RNAcentral.
AGGGAAUCGUUCUCUGUGCUAUUAUUUUAUUAAUACAGUGGAUGAGCUCCUGAAGGCUGCUUUCUUACCUCUCUUCUCAGAUCUGUUUGGGUAAAUCGGAGGCCUUCUCUGUGUGAACGUGUCGCAUGAAAAACAUAAGGAAGAUUUCCUUCCUGUGAAAACCGGAGUUCAACAGUAGCAGAAACAUUCCUGUUUCCCCCACCUCUGAUACAAAUUUUGGUUAAUGACGGAGAUGAAACCUGCUCUUCAGAAACAUUGACUCGAGCUGCAUACUGCUUGUAGCGCUGACAAAAACAAACCUGUGAUGGACUCGGCAAGGAGCUGUUCUGCUCGUUGGUGGAGGAAGCACAAGCACCUCUGCACGCUCCGCCUGGCUAGAGAACCUGGACCAGAUUCUGUUGUCAUGCUGGUGCGGAAGAGCAAUUCAACUGGUGCCAGAGGAUUUCCACUGACAUAA